Molecule: long non-coding RNA, 1027 nt
Filed under: Olea europaea subsp. europaea
Lineage: Eukaryota; Viridiplantae; Streptophyta; Magnoliopsida; Lamiales; Oleaceae
Source: RNAcentral
AGGCUAUGGCAACAUUCUAACAAGUGAAUAUUGCGAUUGAUUAACUUUAUUGAGUUUUAGCAACAUUUUUUAAAUGAAUGUUGUCAAUGCCACUUUUGCGAUAAAUUUUACUUUUUGCAACGUUCUAAUGAACAUUACGAUAAGUUCAAUUUUAGCAACAAUCAAGUAAACGCUACAAAAGUCUCUCUUUUAACAACGUUCAUGUGAACGUUGGGAAAAGUUCUAUUUUAGCAACAUCCAUUUGAACAUUGCUAAAAGUAAAGCUUAAACUACACAACCCAAACCAGAAAGAAAAACUCGUCAAAAUGAUAUUCAGCCCUAGUUUUUUCUUCUUUGCUCGUCUCUGCCUCUCACUCCUCUCUCAUCACUUCCUCUCUUAUGUCGUUGUCUUUUGCCCAAGUAUUAUGUAACGCCGACCUUUUCUCCGGCGGCUCCACUGGUUUAUUUAUCUCCGAUUAAGUUUUCGUAUGAGGGCAGAGUGGGCAGUUUUUAUUGUCCCCAUCCAUGAUUGAUCGAAAAGGUUGUUGAGGCUUGUGGAGCUUUUAAGUUGAGUUCAUAUCAGGGGCUCGUGUCGCAGUGAGUUCUACUCAUCUUCUUCGUUACCAGACUCGAAGGUACUAUCAGAUUUCUUUGUGUAAAAACGGACUUUAUAUAUUGAUUUCAGACUCGCUUUGAUUGAUCAGAAGAUUUAAUUUUUGCACGUCGAUCUAAAAUUCGUCUAGCCUUUUUAGAAUUUAAUUUUCAAGCCAGAAUUGUUCUUUCUUGAUAGUAAUCUUCCUUGAGCAGUUUGAUUUUUAUUAGUAUUAUUUUUUUUCAUGGUUUUUACCCUGCCCGGCCCUCAAGUGUAAUCGGUGAAAUAUACCCGGACCAAAAUCCAGUGGGGCAACUUCUCUCAUUAAACCCCAUUGGGGGGGGGGGGGUAGUAAAGCUCUGUUGUGGAAUGAGUACCCAAUUUCCAAUCCAGAGAGUCAGACACGGAGGUGGAUAAUUGGUUUGAUAGAUACUCCAAGUCAACAUCGCAUUCUAA